RNAcentral lists this ribosomal RNA (253 nucleotides) under uncultured bacterium. RNAcentral's name for it is "partial 16S ribosomal RNA". It matches the Rfam family "Bacterial small subunit ribosomal RNA", at positions 524 to 776 of the family's 1533-position model. The record is from RNAcentral.
UACGUAGGGUGCAAGCGUUACUCGGAAUUAUUGGGCGUAAAGCGCGCGCAGGCGGUUUCUUAAGUCUGAUGUGAAAGCCCACGGCUCAACCGUGGAGGGUCAUUGGAAACUGGGGAACUUGAGUGCAGAAGAGAAAAGCGGAAUUCCACGUGUAGCGGUGAAAUGCGUAGAGAUGUGGAGGAACACCAGUGGCGAAGGCGGCUUUUUGGUCUGUAACUGACGCUGAGGCGCGAAAGCGUGGGGAGCAAACAGG